CUCUCUCUCUCUCAACACAACCGAACUAACAUCCCUCACUCUCUCUCUUACCACAAAAUGGCUCCCAUCAAGGUCGGCAUCAACGGCUUCGGCCGCAUUGGCCGCAUGGUGUUCCAGGCCAUCUGUGACCAGGGCCUUAUCGGCACCGAGAUCGACGUCGUCGCCGUGGUGGACAUGAGCACGAAUGCUGAAUACUUCGCGUACCAGAUGAAGCACGACACGGUGCACGGCCGCCCGAAGUACACGGUGGAGGCUGUGAAGAGCAGUCCGUCCGUGAAGACGGCGGAUGUGCUUGUGGUGAACGGCCACCACAUCAAGUGCGUGAAGGCGCAGCGCAACCCCGCGGAUUUGCCGUGGGGCAAGCUCGGCGUGGACUACGUGAUUGAGUCUACUGGCCUGUUCACGGACAAGUUGCAGGCCGAGGGCCACAUCAAGGGUGGCGCGAAGAAGGUCGUGAUCAGCGCUCCGGCGUCUGGCGGCGCCAAGACAAUCGUGAUGGGCGUGAACCAGCACGAGUACUCGCCGACGACGCACCACGUGGUGUCGAACGCGUCGUGCACGACCAACUGCCUGGCCCCCAUCGUGCAUGUGCUGACAAAGGAGAACUUCGGCAUCGAGACUGGUCUGAUGACCACCAUCCACUCCUACACGGCGACGCAGAAGACGGUGGACGGCGUGUCGCUGAAGGACUGGCGCGGCGGCCGCGCGGCGGCCAUGAACAUCAUCCCGAGUACGACCGGCGCCGCCAAGGCUGUGGGCAUGGUGAUCCCGUCGACCAAGGGCAAGCUGACCGGCAUGUCCUUCCGCGUACCGACGCCGGACGUGUCCGUCGUGGACCUGACGUUCCGCGCGACGCGCGACACGUCGAUCCAGGAGAUAGACAAGGCCAUCAAGAAGGCGGCGCAGACGUACAUGAAGGGCAUUCUCGGCUUCACCGACGACGAACUCGUCAGCUCUGACUUCAUCAACGACAACCGCAGCUCGGUCUACGACUCCAAGGCGACACUGCAGAACAACCUACCCGGCGAGAGGCGGUUCUUCAAGAUCGUGUCGUGGUAUGACAACGAGUGGGGCUACUCGCACCGCGUGGUGGACCUGGUGCGCUACAUGGCUGCCAAGGACGCUGCCAGCGCGAAGAUGUAAGCCGUGCACACAGCCCUUCCCCCAACCCCGACAGCGGCAGUGUGGGACUCGGUGCUCCCACAAGCGCGUGGCACGAGCUAUGUGCUAGCGUGUGACCAGUGGGCUGUCAUGCCAUGUCGGUCUCCCCGUGAGCAGCUAAAAAAAGGAAAACGUGCUUUUUCCCUCUUUCCCAUAUUUUUCCUUUUUGCUAAGUGGAUCCUUCAGCAGCUCCCAGCGCCGCACGCACGCGCCAGCGUGCGUGCGAGGGCGUCGGUGCAUUCAUUUUCUAUUUUCUCACGCACCCGGUGCAGCGCGGCGCAAUGCAACGGCACACGCACGCGCUGUCGUGGGUACGGAGCGGCAAUUGAUAUGACCGAGGCGGCGCUGCCGGUGAGGUGUAGGUGCUUCGAAUCUCAUGAGCGUAUC
This 1548-nucleotide unclassified non-coding RNA is filed under the name Leishmania donovani. RNAcentral describes it as "gene:LdHU3.30.3990(CDS-product:glyceraldehyde_3-p hosphate_dehydrogenase_glycosomal)". The record is from RNAcentral. Lineage: Eukaryota; Euglenozoa; Kinetoplastea; Trypanosomatida; Trypanosomatidae.